GUGAAUCAUCAAAUUUUUGAACGCAAAUUGCACUUUCUGGUAUUCCGGAAAGUAUGCCUGUUUGAGGGGGAGUUAAAUAAAAAUCGGUGUUGUUGAUGCUUUUCGUGGUGACGCGUCGGAAUUGAGUUGUCUUACCUAUGGUUAAGUGACUUAAAAUUUUGCAUGAUUUUCGAAUGUAUUUAAAUUUCUUACGUACGUUUGAGAUAUCGAAUACUUUAUUAGGUUAGGUCAUCGUCAUGAUUCGACGAUAUAAUUGUUCAU
RNAcentral lists this unclassified non-coding RNA (261 nucleotides) under Glomus sp. Its description in RNAcentral is "partial contains 5.8S ribosomal RNA and internal transcribed spacer 2". The stretch from base 1 to 71 matches the Rfam family "5.8S ribosomal RNA", at positions 84 to 154 of the family's 154-position model. Lineage: Eukaryota; Fungi; Glomeromycota; Glomeromycetes; Glomerales; Glomeraceae. The record is from RNAcentral.